CCUACGGGGGGCAGCAGUGAGGAAUAUUGGUCAAUGGACGGAAGUCUGAACCAGCCAUGCCGCGUGCAGGAAGACGGCUCUAUGAGUUGUAAACUGCUUUUGUACAAGGGUAAACCUGAAUACGUGUAUUCAGCUGAAAGUACUGUACGAAUAAGGAUCGGCUAACUCCGUGCCAGCAGCCGCGGUAAUACGGAGGAUCCAAGCGUUAUCCGGAUUUAUUGGGUUUAAAGGGUGCGUAGGCGGAUUGAUAAGUUAGAGGUGAAAUGUCCGAGCUUAACUCGGGAACUGCCUCUAAUACUGUUGAUCUAGAGAGUAGAUGCGGUAGGCGGAAUGUAUGGUGUAGCGGUGAAAUGCUUAGAGAUCAUACAGAACACCGAUUGCGAAGGCAGCCUACCAAUCUAUAUCUGACGUUGAGGCACGAAAGCGUGGGGAGUAAACAGGAUUAGAUACCCUAGUAGUC
Molecule: ribosomal RNA, 460 nt
Filed under: uncultured bacterium
Lineage: Bacteria
Description: partial 16S ribosomal RNA
Rfam family: Bacterial small subunit ribosomal RNA
Source: RNAcentral